Helianthus annuus (common sunflower) is the source of this 3321-nucleotide RNA transcript. It is a transcript of the gene named protein TOPLESS-RELATED PROTEIN 2, with no coding region annotated. The transcript has 12 exons. The record is from RefSeq and is a predicted model, not a curated record. Lineage: Eukaryota; Viridiplantae; Streptophyta; Magnoliopsida; Asterales; Asteraceae.
GAUUACUUGUACCUUUUGCAUAUACUACUUGUACACAUAAGAGUUCUAAGGCUUAUUUUGGUUAUAUUGAACUUCUCUGACAGUACUAGAACUAUUUUUUUUGUAUUUAUUUAUUUGAAUCUCUAAAUUUUUAGUGUUUAAGAUUAACAAGUUAAAAUAUAUCCAAUACAUAAUUUUUGAAAUAACAAACGCCUCGCAUACUUGAUGCACACGCAUCACGCAUUACGCAUCGCACAUCGGCUUUUGGGAUCAAAACACAUCGGAGCACAUCACACAUUUUAAAACCAAGGUCUAUUAAUUCCCAUUUGUUUUUUGUUUAUUAGUCAUUUAAUACCAGUUAGUAUCUUCAGGUUAUGCAGCUUAUAUAUACAAAUUCUGGGUCAGGUUUACUUGUGCUUGCUUCCAGUGGCAUUCAUAAACUGUGGAAGUGGCAACAAAAGUCAACUGCAUCUAUCGUCCCCCGGUUGUGGCAUCCUGUAAAUGGGGCUGUAAUGUUUAAUGAUGUAAAUGAGAGUAAACCCACUGAAGAGUCGGCGUCAUGCAUUGCUUUGUCAAAGAAUGAUGCUUAUGUCUUGUCUGCCUCUGGUGGGAAAGUCUCCCUGUUCAACAUGAUGACCUUCAAGACCAAAAUCAGGCUUAAAGGUCACCAGAAACAGAUUACUGGACUUGCAUUUUCAGAGGCUUUAAACUCACUGGCCUCGUCUGGAGCUGAUGCUCAGCUAUGUAUCUGGAAUAUUGAUGGAUGGGGGAAGUUGAAAUCAAGAAGCUUACAAUCGCCACCCGGCUAUACAUCCUCACUGGUAGGAGAUACUAAAGUUCAAUACCAUAAGUAUCAACUCAACCUCCUAGUUGUACAUGAAAGUCAUAUUGCUAUAUAUGACCCUGAUUUGGUAUGUUUGAAAUUGUGGUCUCCUAGAGAACCUCUAUCUGCUCCAAUUUCAAGUGCCACAUACUCAUCUGACGGCCUACUAAUAUUCACCGGAUUUUCAGAUGGUGCUCUUGGCGUUUUUGAUGCAGAGAGUUUGAGCCUUCGGUUUCAUGUAUCACCUUCUGCCUACAUUUCACCAUCAGUUUCCAGCAGCAACAACACUGCAUAUCCUUUGGUUAUUGCAGCACAUCCAUAUGAUUGUAACCAAUUUGCUCUUGGAAUGAGUGAUGGUUCAGUUCAAGUCAUUGAGUUCGGCGAUGCAGAUCCCAAGUCCGGCAGUUCGGCACCUCAAGAAAUCGAUACCUUAGCAUCAUCCAAUGCUUCAAAUUUAUCGUUGAACAGUCAACAAUUAGAAACGGUCCAGACGAUGGUACAGAAUAUGAGAAUAUAAGCUUGUUGAUGAUGAUGUUUUACCCAAAUCACACCAUAAGCAUAGUAAUUGAUGACUUCACUGAAAUAGGGUGCUUUUGCAAGUAUAGUGGAAAGGAAAAAUGACAACUCGUAAAAGUCCAAGAAUAUUAAGGAUUAAAGCAAAAAGUUUUUCAAACACAAAAUCAAAUCCAGACAUACUUGAUGACAGGGUUCUGAACACAGUGAAGAAACAUGAGGCAAAAAGAGAAAAAGAAAAGAAGCUAAACCGAAAAAGACAACAAAACAAAAAAAUCAAAAGACGACUGAAGCGGGUACGAAGAAAGGGAAGACAAAAAAUGUCAGGGACCCUUUGCUUUUUAGCAUAAGAACAAGUCGUCUCGAAGAAAGUUGCACGAAUGUGUAUAAUCUUUGAAUGAAAAACAAAGAAAGAUAGUCUGCAAAAUGGGAUUUGGCAAAAUGUUAUCAUUAAAGAUCGAUACAAUCCCAGGAAGCUUAGCAUACUUUGUGGUUGACCAUUUCGAUCCCAACAAAAUGGAAAUAAGAUUUGGAAGGAUUGCUAUCAAGGUAGAUGAAGAAGCGAUACACCAAUUCCUAGGUCUUCAAAUCGUGGUUUUGAUGUGUUACCCUUUAAGCCACCCAAAGAGAACAACACAACACUUGGAAAAGCUUAUUAAAAGGCAUAAUGACAAGUUGACGAUUAAAGUGAAAAAUAUUUUCGAAAAGAUAACUUUCGGAGAUGAUAAAGAGGGUUUUAUGUUUAAGCCUGAUUUCAUUGUAUUGUUUGUUAACACAAUGGUCGAAUGUCAUUUUAACGGAUUAUGCAAAGCUGGAAUCGUUGACAUACUGAAUGAAGAUAUGGACUUCUCAAAGAUAGAUUGGUGCAAAUAAAUUGUUCACAUUAUCAAAAGAUGUAAAGAUGGGUGGGUACAAAGGGACAUGUCUUGCUACUUUUGCGGCGCACUAACUAUUUUAACGAUAGUGUGACAUGUAAAGGAAUUAAUGAAGAGCGAACAAUUUCACGACUAGAAUAUUGGACGACGCAAAGGCUGCAGCUGAGAGAAGACAUGGAGAUUGAACAAGGGGGGUUUGGAAGAGGAGAUUUCAGGGGGUUAUUUGUUGCUGAUGCUGAGGCAAGUGAAGAAACUAACUUGGAGAAAACAGAAACAGAAGAAAGUGAAGACAAUGGACCAGGUUUGCCAGAUCCAAACAACUUGGAGACACAUUUAAGAGAGGUUGGUACACAUUACUACUGGAUUGAAAUGAACAAGGUCAAAUUUAAGAAGGCAGUGGAAAAGGUGUUGGCAAACUUCCCAAAAAGAGAGGAAGUAAAAUAUUUUGUAGAAAGUUACAAGGAAAAGCUCAAAAAGUUUUUCUAUUAGAAAGAAGAUGAAACAACACCGCCACCACCAACAACAACAAAUGACGAACCUCUUGAACUAACUAUACCAAAAGGAACUGAAGCUCAAACACCUAUACAAAAGGUUGAUAUCGAUGGAACAGAAGACAAAUGCAACUCAAAUCAGAUAGUAUCCAGUCAACCAGGUUUCAGUUUAGGAAUAAGCCUUAUACAAGUUCCAUUUGAAGAAAACUACACAUAAGUGGAUGUUGAAAAGCAAAAUGCGAAGGAUAUAACAGAAAGACCGCAUAGAAUCAAACAUCCAACAUAUGCAUCAAAAUCUCCGUAUUUGGUAAGAGUAGUUGAUAUUUGCAAACCAUUAACCAAAGAAGAGUUGAAGAUCUAGGAUUAUUUGAUGGAAGGUUCAGAAAAACAACAACUGAUUCAAGAAGACAACCCUGAAAAGGAAUGUGAUGGUGAUACGUAAAAAGAUGCAUGCACAUUAUGUCAGGAAGCAAUGGAGAUUGAAACUGAUUUUGGGUAUGCAUAAUCAAUUAAAGACUAUAAAGAAGCAAUUUAAUUAUGCAUAUAUGUGUUGUAAUAUUGGCUUUGGGAGUCUUUCAAAAAAAAUAGGAACACUAUAAAGAAGCAAUUUAAUUACGGAUAUAUGUGUUGUAUGUUGGCU